UACGGAGGGUGCAAGCGUUGUUCGGAAUUACUGGGCGUAAAGCGUGAGGAGGCGGCUUGUUAAGUCUGAUGUGAAAGCCCUGGGCUUAACCCAGGAACUGCAUCGGAAACUAGCAGGCUAGAGUUCGGGAGAGGGUCGUGGAAUUCUUGGUGUAGAGGUGAAAUUCGUAGAUAUCAAGAGGAACACCGGUGGCGAAGGCGGCGACCUGGACCGACACUGACGCUAAUACACGAAAGCGUGGGGAGCAAACAGG
RNAcentral lists this ribosomal RNA (253 nucleotides) under uncultured bacterium. RNAcentral describes it as "partial 16S ribosomal RNA". It matches the Rfam family "Bacterial small subunit ribosomal RNA", at positions 524 to 776 of the family's 1533-position model. The record is from RNAcentral.